RNAcentral lists this ribosomal RNA (499 nucleotides) under uncultured bacterium. RNAcentral describes it as "partial 16S ribosomal RNA". It matches the Rfam family "Bacterial small subunit ribosomal RNA", at positions 28 to 507 of the family's 1533-position model. The record is from RNAcentral.
GAUGAACGCUGGCGGCGUGCCUAAUACAUGCAAGUCGAACGAACAGACGAUAGUGCUGGCACUCGCUGACGUGAGCGGCGGGCGAGUGAGUAGCACGUGAGUAACCUACCUAUUAGGCUUGGAUUACUUCGGGAAAGCGGAACUAAGACCGGAUAAUAUUGAGGUUCGGAUGGAGCAGGAGAGUAUGAGCGGUCUGGUGUGGCUUAGAGAUUUACCCGCUGUGUAUUAGCGAGUUGGCGUGGUAACGGCUCACCAAGGCACCGAUAGAUAGCCGACCUGGGAGGGUGAUCGGCCACACUGGGACUGAGACACGGCCCAGACUCCUACGGGAGGCAGCAGUAGGGAAUCUUACGCAAUGGUCGAAAGUCUGACGGAGCAAUGCCGAGCGAGUGAAGAAGGUUUUCGGAUCGUAAAACUCUGUUGUAAGGGAAGAACAAGUACGUUAGUAACUGAACGUACAUUGACGGUACCUUAUAAGAAAGCCACGGCUAACUACGUG